UACGGGAGGCAGCAGUGGGGAAUAUUGGACAAUGGGCGCAAGCCUGAUCCAGCAAUGCCGCGUGUGUGAAGAAGGCCUUCGGGUUGUAAAGCACUUUUAUCGGGAGCGAAAUACCACGGGUCAAUAACCUAUGGGGCUGACGGUACCCGAGGAAUAAGCACCGGCUAACUUCGUCCAGCAGCCGCGGUAAUACGAGGGUGCAAGCGUUAAUCGGAAUUACUGGGCGUAAAGGGUGCGUAGGCGGUUUGUUAAGUCUGUUGUGAAAUCCCCGGGCUCAACCUGGGAAUGGCAAUGGAUACUGGCAAGCUAGAGUGUGUCAGAGGAUGGUGGAAUUCCCGGUGUAGCGGUGAAAUGCGUAGAGAUCGGGAGGAACAUCAGUGGCGAAGGCGGCCAUCUGGGACAACACUGACGCUGAAGCACGAAAGCGUGGGGGCAAACAGGAUUAGAUACCCGGUAGUCCACGCCCUAAACGAUGCGAACUGGAUGUUGGUCUCAACUCGGAGAUCAGUGUCGAAGCUAACGCGUUAAGUUCGCCGCCUGGGGAGUACGGUCGCAAGACUGAAACUCAAAGGAAUUGACGGGGGCCCGCACAAGCGGUGGAGGUAUGUGGUUUAAUUCGAUGCAACGCGAAGAACCUUACCUGGCCUUGACAUGUCCGGAAUCGAGCAGAGAUGCUUGAGUGCCUUCGGGAUCGGAACACAGGUGCUGCUGGCUGUCGUCAGCUCGUGUCGUGAGAUGUUGGGUUAAGUCCCGCAACGAGCGCAACCCUUGUCCUUAGUUGCCAGCGAGUAAAGUCGGGAACUCUAAGGAGACUGCCGGUGACAAACCGGAGGAAGGUGGGGAUGACGUCAAGUCCUCAUGGCCCUUACGGCCAGGGCUACACACGUACUACAAUGGUCGGUACAGAGGGUUGCGAAGCCGCGAGGUGGAGCCAAUCCCAGAAAGCCGUCCCAGUCCGGAUCGAAGCUGCAACUCGACUUCGUGAAGUCGGAAUCGCUAGUAAUCGCGGAUCAGCUAUGCCGCGGUGAAUACGUUCCCGGGCCUUGUACACACCGCCCGUCACACCAUGGGAGUGGGUUGCUCCAGAAGGCCGUUAGUCUAACCGCAAGGAGGACGACGCCCACGGAGUGAUUCAUGACUGGGGUGAAGUCGUAACAAGGUAACC
RNAcentral lists this ribosomal RNA (1165 nucleotides) under uncultured bacterium. RNAcentral's name for it is "bacterial SSU rRNA". It matches the Rfam family "Bacterial small subunit ribosomal RNA", at positions 340 to 1501 of the family's 1533-position model. The record is from RNAcentral.